This 1197-nucleotide long non-coding RNA is filed under the name Homo sapiens (human). RNAcentral describes it as "HSALNT0057792". The record is from RNAcentral. Lineage: Eukaryota; Metazoa; Chordata; Mammalia; Primates; Hominidae.
CUGAAACUUUCGACAUGGCUUAGAUUUUGGUUUUAUUGGGCAGGUAUAGAGUAGUCUGUCUUAAACCUCACAGUGUCUCAGCUGAAUUUCCAGGGUGCUUGAAGUGUUUGAGAGACUUUCUUGGCCAAACUCCGUCUUCUAGCAAUAUUCAGUCUCUUAUUUCAAGCUCUGAAGCAUGCAGCUAGCUGUUGUCUGUUAAGUUUGAUGAGAUCUCAGCUUGCACAUGUGCAACUCAUCCCUUAAUGAAAGACUUGCCUGGAACCUCCGAACAGACUUUUGCCCAUCCUCUGCUUCUUCCUCCUGAUGCUCUGAAGAUCCUACUAAGCUGAAGAGGUAAAAAUCAGGGUGUUGGGUAGCUGAAGCAGUUGUCAUAUUCUCUCUGGACUCCAGCUCACUGUGCCAUGGUCACGAAAUUGUUAGUAGGCAGAAAACUGGGGUUAUCAUAGGACUUAUCUCAUGGGCUUUCCCUUUCCUCAAGGUUUGCAGUAUUGCACUUCAUGUUAUCCAAUCUAAAAACAGUGGCCUCAUACAUUUUGUCCAACUUUAUAAUUAUUCAUGUUAGAGGAAUUGACUGGUAUUAGUUAUAUCAUCAUAUUUGGAAGCAAAAUUCUUCUGCUUAAUUAUUAAAAAGAAUGUAGUAUUCAAGCCCAAAUCUCUAAGGAUAUAUUUAAAAAUCUUGUUUUCCUUGUUCUAUUAACUGUGGUUAUCUCAGUUAUAAGUUAUUCUCUUCGUUAAAUUUGUUUUCUUCUUUCAUGGCAUUGCUGUUUCUCAAAUUGUGAUUCUUGAUUGGAUGUGCAUAUCAAUCAAAAUCAUAACAAGAAACCUAUAGCAUGGUCAAAAUCAGAGGAAAGUUAAUUUACAAAGAUGUGGGAGUAGGGAAAUGUCAGGAUUAUUUUGUUUAGUCUAAACAGAACAAGUCAGUCUCUAUAAUGAUACCUGUAAGACAUUAAACAUGGGAAUUGUUGCCUACAUUUUCUGCCAGGCAUAGCAAAGAAGAAUUGGAUCAGUAUUUAUAGACAAGAAGAGAAAGAAAGGGACAGACAGGCAGAUAGACAUGGAGAGAGACAGAGACGAAGAAAAAGAUGAAAAAGAUAGAUACAGAGACAGAAAGAUAGAAAAAAAACUCCUUGUUGUGUUUAACAAUCUGGCUUUAAUUGUUCUAGCAUCCAUGUAUUUCUUGCUAUUUGUUCGUUGAGU